Molecule: non-coding RNA, 120 nt
Organism: Gorilla gorilla gorilla (western lowland gorilla)
Lineage: Eukaryota; Metazoa; Chordata; Mammalia; Primates; Hominidae
Source: Rfam
GUCUGAAGCCACACCACCCUGAAUGCACGUGGUCUCAUCUGACCUCGGAACUUUAGCAGGGUCGGGUCUGAGGAGCACUUGAAUGAGAGAACUGGGAAGGACCCCGCCCAUCUUCGCGUU